RNAcentral lists this ribosomal RNA (583 nucleotides) under uncultured bacterium. Its description in RNAcentral is "bacterial SSU rRNA". It matches the Rfam family "Bacterial small subunit ribosomal RNA", at positions 338 to 948 of the family's 1533-position model. The record is from RNAcentral.
CCUACGGGAGGCAGCAGUUAGGAAUAUUGGACAAUGGGGGCAACCCUGAUCCAGCCAUGCCGCGUGUGUGAAGAAGGCCUUAGGGUUGUAAAGCACUUUCAGCUGUGAAGAUAAUGACAGUAGCAGAAGAAGAAGCUCCGGCUAAAUUCGUGCCAGCAGCCGCGGUAAUACGAAUGGAGCGAGCGUUGUUCGGAAUCACUGGGCGUAAAGGGUGCGCAGGCGGUUAUGAAAGUUAGAAGUGAAAUCCCAGGGCUUAACCCUGGAAUGGCUUUUAAAACUCCAUGACUAGAGUACUGGAGAGGUUGGCGGAAUUCCGAGUGUAGAGGUGAGAUUCGCAGAUAUUCGGAGGAACACCAAUGGCGUAGGCAGCCAACUGGACAGUAACUGACGCUCAUGCACGAAAGCGUGGGGAUCAAACAGGAUUAGAUACCCUGGUAGUCCACGCCUUAAACGAUGUGUGCUAGUUGUCGGGUUCUUAGAACUCGGUGACGCNGCUACGCUUAGUCACACCGCCGUGGAGUACGUCGCGAGAUAACUACAAGAGAGUAGACGCGNGAGAGNGCGACGACGACGACGAGGAGAG